AAACAGACAAAACCUGAUUUCUGUGCGCAGCGUUUGACCGUUCGUCUUAUUUGAAAAAAAUAUGAAAAAAUUAAAAAGACAAGUCACGCAUGAAAUAUUAAUCAUGUUUUAUCAUCUAGCAACAAUGAAAAUACGAAUUAUAAAAAAAUUUCAUAUAAGACGAACAGUCAAAGUUAGCACGGAAACCCAGGGUUUACAUUUUU
This is a microRNA precursor of Oryza sativa Indica Group (long-grained rice), 203 nucleotides long. It matches the Rfam family "MIR812 microRNA precursor family". NCBI's taxonomy places the organism in Eukaryota, Viridiplantae, Streptophyta, Magnoliopsida, Poales, Poaceae. The record is from Rfam.